Molecule: ribosomal RNA, 380 nt
Filed under: uncultured eukaryote
Lineage: Eukaryota
Description: partial 18S ribosomal RNA
Rfam family: Eukaryotic small subunit ribosomal RNA
Source: RNAcentral
CAGUAGCGUAUAUUAAAGUUGUUGCGGUUAAAAAGCUCGUAGUUGGAUUUCUGCCGAGGACGACCGGUCCGCCCUCUGGGUGAGUAUCUGGCUCGGCCUGGGCAUCUUCUUGGAGAACGUAGCUGCACUUGACUGUGUGGUGCGGUAUCCAGGACUUUUACUUUGAGGAAAUUAGAGUGUUUCAAGCAGGCUUACGCCUUGAAUACAUUAGCAUGGAAUAAUAAGAUAGGACCUCGGUUCUAUUUUGUUGGUUUCUAGAGCUGAGGUAAUGAUUAAUAGGGAUAGUUGGGGGCAUUCGUAUUUAACUAUCAGAGGUGAAAUUCUUGGAUUUGUUAAAGACGGACUACUGCGAAAGCAUUUGCCAAGGAUGUUUNCAUUGA